UAGGGAAUCUUCGGCAAUGGGGGCGAACCCUGACCGAGCAACGCCGCGUGAGUGAAGAAGGUUUUCGGAUCGUAAAGCUCUGUUGUAAGAGAAGAACGUGUGUGAGAGUGGAAAGUUCACACAGUGACGGUAACUUACCAGAAAGCCACGGCUAACUACGUGCCAG
RNAcentral lists this ribosomal RNA (166 nucleotides) under uncultured bacterium. Its description in RNAcentral is "partial 16S rRNA". It matches the Rfam family "Bacterial small subunit ribosomal RNA", at positions 355 to 511 of the family's 1533-position model. The record is from RNAcentral.